UCAAAUAAAAUAACUCCUGAUAAUGAGUCGCAUUUCCCUAAUUUCCUUUGAAUUAAUUUAAAACAGAAACAAUAUUAUUUUCGACUGACAUGCACGCACCAGAUUCUGUUAAACAGUAGAUCACAAUCUGACCACUGUGUUCUAAUUGUUGUUAGCAGUGACACUUAACAUCCACAUUGUUCCCCUCUCUUCGAUAUUUUAUAGCAAAAUGACAGGUAGAUCCAUCAAAAAACAAUAUUUCUGAAUCAUUAUUAAUCACAAUGUUUUCAACUCUUAGUUCCUGAUUUCUUUUUUAAAAUCAUUAGAUAAAGAGAAUUUUUUCAACUGAUGUCAGACUGUUUUCUUAAUUCAUCCAAUUAUGUUUCCAAAGAUGUUCAUUUCAUACAUUCAAAACAAGGUUAUCUAAUGAAAAAUAAGACUUAAGAAAUUUACUUCAAUUUUGAAAACAUUGUUUUGUCUUUGUUAAUUACUCAACAGACAAAAAACCUCAAUCGCUUCCUAUCUAAAAUAAAACAUGUCAUAAUUAAUUUAACCCAAGUGACAAAAAAUAUGGAAAACUCCAUAAUUUAUUCUUUAGAAUACUCCAAGUCCAUUAUUUCAAAGAAAACGAAUCAAAAAUGCAUUCAAUUUAUGUGGAACUUGACUGAAAAUAUGGACUUAUUAUCAUACAAGCCAGAUCAUGAAUUUCAGCUUAAGAUGUCUGCAAGAGAAAUUUAUAAAACAAUUAAGUACUCUUCAAAAUGAAGUUUGUGAGAACAGCACACAUUGGAACUCUUGGGAGUUCUUUAUAGCAGUACUGAGGGCGUAGUGGACCGUAUAUUUCUAAAUUAUCCUUAAAGUCAAAUGUUAAGACUUGGGAAUCAUAAAACAUCCUCAAGUAUCAUUCAGAAAAUUCAAAAUGUUCCAUUUUUACAGUUUGGUGCUAAGUUGGGAAGGUAUCCCCAGUAAUAAACUGGUCACAAAUAAAAUUUAGCAAAUUGUGCCACUGCUAGUCAGGAUCUUGAUAAGAAGAUGGCCAAGAGCACUUUGGUGGUAACUUUGGAUAGUAUGCAAUUUUAUAUCUAGAAACCAGGUAUAAAGCCCUGUGUGUGUGUGUAAUAAAUUCCUUGAUAUACCAGAAUUACUGCAGGACAGAGGGCAAUAAAGUAAAAAUGAAAAAUAAUACAAUAGCUUAGGCCCAGUAAGAACUGACAGAAAAUCUGAAUUAUUGUGCUACAAGAUUGGCAUCAAUUUCAGGGUCACAAUGACGGCAAGUUAAACCCAUGAUCCAACGCAUUCAAAAUUUAUCCAUCAUCAUGAUGACCUAUCAAUCAAGACCCUCAAAGACAAAGAAUAAGACAAAAUAGGUAACAAUCGAUGAAUUAUAUGUACUUCAUUCUUUUUCUGGGCUUUAUUGAUGCCACCAAAUUUGGAACGAAAAAAGGAAAAUACUUAAUGAUCCUAGAAUGAAAUUUCUUAAAAAACAGAGCACAAUAUGAUUCACUAUACAUAGAAUUUUUUCAAACAACUUUGUCUUUAAACCACAUAGGGGUUUCUCUUGUGUCUGACAAUUGUUCAAACGUCUAUAAAGGUAAUUAAUGCUCAGACAAAUAGGAUGUUAUUUACAUAAUCUUUUUUUUCUCUAACUCUCUGACUCUUUUUGUUUUUUUUACAGGAAAAAUUUCUUAAUAAAUGACAAUGAUAAUUUUAUUACUUUCAACUCAUAAAAACUGGAUACAUUAUAUGGAUCAGCACACAAUUUAGUUUCCAUUUCAAAUUUUUUGAAUAAUGCCAUAUAGUAUUUCAUUAAAUUUCUGAAAUUUCUUCCAAAUGCUGGUGGGUUUUUUUAUCUCUAAAACUUCCUACACUAGAUCCCUUAUGACUGUGCAGAUAUUGUCUCAUCCAAGAGAAGCACUUGAAAUUCAAGUUUCUUUCACCUCGAAAUCUGAUUACCAUAUACACGCAACCUGGCACCCACAGAACUUCUUUAUAGGUUACCAUUUGUAGCACAGAAUGUGAAGUCUCACCCCACUGCACAAAUUCUACCUCCAGCUUGUCAUAGUUGGAUCCAUUUCCAACUUUUUCAUACUUCUCUGAUGGCCCACAAAAAGGGUUCUGUUGAUUAUAGGAAUCUGGCAUGAAAUAGCACAUUCAAAAUGAUGCAUUAUUUUUUUUAUUAUUAUUUUUUUUUUGUUCUUUUCAGAUUGUACAAGUACCUAUACAUGCAUGGAAAGAAAGGGUAAAAUUUUGCUUCCAGGAAGACAAUUUCUCUCUCUGUUCCAUGUGUUAUUUUUUUUUUUUUUUACAUUUGACAAAUAUGCCUUAAAGGAGGGAAAAGAUUUAAGAACCGAACAAUGUCAACUGAUUUUUUUAGUGAUAACAUUCAUGGUGUAGUAGACAAAAAUAUUUUGGAGUACACAUAAAAGAUAAAACUUAACUUUAUGUUGGAUUUCCAACACAAAAAAUUACCUCAGUUAAGUAAAAUUCUGUUUCCUUAUUUUCAGAAAAAUUGUGCAUUACGAAAAUCUGUUUCAUCUUUUCAUUUUAUUUUAGCAACUGUAUGUACAUCCACCUAACAGAAAGUGCUCUGAUCCAAUUACAAACAUAAGUAUCGUCCCAUAAAUUUCCUUUCAAAAAAGAUAUCUUUACAAGGGGUUGGAGAACACUAAAUACACACUGUCCAGAGAAUAUUCAUUUGCAGAUUGCUCAUGUAAUAUACUAGAUUUCACUAAUACAUUUCCAAUAAAUUGUGUUAAUUUCAUUUAAAGCAGGCACAUUUUGUAAAACUGAAUUCAUAUUACAAAUUUUACAGAUUCAAAGAUGCUAUCAUUUUAACAUUUUCCAGACACAACGAAAACUCUGAUAUGGAGGAAAAGAAUUGGUGACAUGAUAAUUGCCCUGAUUAGGGACAUACAAGGAUGUAGCGUAAUGGCAGAUUUACUGAUUGAGUACUCAUCGUCAGGGAAUCAUUGUCACAAGGAAAUGAUUUCUCAAUGAGGAAAGUACAGUAUCAUAAGCAGAUAUAGGAGACAUUUUCUUCAUCACAAUAUCUAAAAUAGAUACGGCUUGCAAGAGAUUUUCCAUGACAAGCAUAGGAAAAGAAGAAAAUUGUUUCCCGAUCAAAUCUGUCACAAAUGCUGCAAAAUCAACAAAAAAAAAAAAAAAAAAAACAAGGAACAAUUAUCAAAAGAUAUUUUAUCAUAAUUUUACUUUGUCAAACACGGAAUGAAAUAACUGAAAUAAGAAGUUCAAUCAAGUUUACCCAGACAAAGUAAUCUGAUGGUCAAUAAUAGGGAGGUGGGUUCGGCAGUGAAUCUUCGGUCCCUAGCUACUGCAGUGAUUUCUGAUCAGAGUGGAUCUUCUCUUGUCUUUUGAGAAGCAAAGGAACCAAGAUAUGUCAUCGAUAAGAAUUCUCUAAAAAUAUUGCAAGAGCUUCCACCUUUCAUAAUCAAACAAUCACUACCAACAAUUUGUUGAAAAGGAAUUCCUAAGUGCUUUGUGUGUGCAAGAUACUUAUAAUGAAAGAGCUAAAACAUGAUAAAAUGUUACUGAAGAACUAAAAGGGGGUUAACUCUUAUAUUUCCCUCCAUCAACUCAUUUUUUUUUUUACAUGUGUUUGUGGAUUAAAUACUCAUUAAAGAAAACAAAAGAACCCAUAAUGUUCAAAUACAAGUUCUGAAAGAACAGAUUUUAGUGUAAUUAACAAGAAUUUUUUCUUUGCCAGAUUUCAAAGCUGUCCAAUAUCUAUUGCAGGAAAACACGGCAUCAUACUUCCUCUCCAUAGCAUCAGCAAAUCAGCAGAUUCAGUGACCGAAACUCAUACAAGCCCCAAACGAAUGGUUUUUAUUGACUUCAAGAAUGAAAUCUUUGAGAGCUCUUGCCAGAAUCAUAAUUCUUUAAUGGAACUCAUUUGCUUUUUUGAAAAGAAAGAGAUAUUGAUUCUGAUUCCAGUUUUUAAAAACCAAACAGACAGACACUUGCAUUAUUACAAAGAAAGUGCAGCAAGUUUGCUUUCCAUGCAAAAAUUUCAGUCAACUCUUUUUAAUGGAAAAACAUACAGUCAACCAAAGGAAUCAUGCCUCGGAAUACAGGACUAGUUCUGUAGAAAUGAUCUUCUUCCAAAAACUUAUUUUCAAAACAGAUUACAAAGACCUGGCAGGAUUUAAUCUGACAAUGUUAUCUAAAUUUUCAUGAAAUUGUUCCAAAAACACAAAAGUUCCUUAAGAUUACUACCAAGAGUAUUUUUAAGAUCAUGAGCCAAAGAUAUUUGGAACAAAGGGCACAAGAUAAACAAGAGAUGAGCUGCACCCAGAACAACGAGAGCAAGAAGAGAGAAGUCGACGGACUUGACAUCAGUGUUGUAGGUUUUCCUGUGUGUAAUGCACCCCUGAAUCACUUCGCACUGACGACAACAGACAGCCGCACGUCCAAACGCUUCCUUUACAAGAAGCAGGAUGCCGUUUGGCUUGGAGUUUCCUGUUUUUGUAAGGCACUUGAAAAUUUCCAAGUGUCACCGACAGCGAGAUUAUAAUAAUGCCUUGUAAACUGAUAAUCACGAGUCUGAGAUUUGUCAUCCUCGCAUCCUUGUACUAAUUCUCUGGACACACACGGCUUUAGUUCAAGAUUUCUAAGGCCUCCUUUGUCGAAGCAUGACCUUUAAGAGUUGGUCAAAAGGAAAAAAGAGACAAUUUUUAAGAUUCAUGGCAAAUGAAAGGAAAAAGCUUGUAAAUUUUUCUGCUUCGCUGAAUUUUACAUUUUGUUUGCAAAACUGCAAAACAAACUUAUCAAUUGCAUAUAUUCUGUUUGUUUUACAAAUGACUUAUGCAUACUUCCUGCCUCAUAGGAAAUACUUUUCCCUGAUUAAAAUACAAAUAAUGCCUUAUUAUCAUUUGAUCUGUACAAAGGGGCACAACUCUUCAGCUAAACAUUGAAAUUUGUGAUGAUGUUUAAUGCAUAGAUGUACUACACUGCACAUACACAGAAUCUGAAAUUAUCUUGAUAUUUCUCUACAUGACUUUGGAACAAUCUGGAAACAUAAUACAUUUUAUCAUCAUCCUUGACAUUUACCACAGGCACUAAGCUUCUACUGUGUGAAUUAAUGAGAGAUUUCAUAACUUUCUUACAAGUAACAUUAUUUGACACCGAAAGGAUGCUGAUGUCAGGAAAUAUACCACAGCUUAGUACAUGCACAUUGCACACAAACAUUUCCUUGGGCAUCCUUUUCAUUUGCAUUGUAAGAGCAAGUACCUCUUGAACAUUUACAUGAUGCUAAUUUUGAUCCCAAAUUUUAGCAAUGUAAAAAAAAUCAUCAUUGAUAUUACCUUUUCAAUAUAAUACCAUAUAUACAAUUUGUGUACUUACAAAUCAUUAAAACUGCCAGUGUAUCUGCAUAUGAUAUGCAUGCAUAUGGAAAAUCUGCUAAUCAGAACUUUAAAGUGGAGAAUAAAAGUUUUUCACAUGC
This is a long non-coding RNA of Ostrea edulis (European flat oyster), 5440 nucleotides long. RefSeq lists it as uncharacterized. The transcript has 5 exons. The record is from RefSeq and is a predicted model, not a curated record. NCBI's taxonomy places the organism in Eukaryota, Metazoa, Mollusca, Bivalvia, Ostreida, Ostreidae.